AACGUCGCCGCAGGCGGCGGCCCGCAGGGCGAGGCGCUACGCGCCGAGUCAUCCCCUCCCUCUCCGCCA
RNAcentral lists this small RNA (69 nucleotides) under Thioalkalivibrio sp. RNAcentral's name for it is "partial RtT sRNA". It matches the Rfam family "RtT RNA", at positions 64 to 130 of the family's 130-position model. From Rfam's summary of the family: This family represents a bacterial cis-regulatory element known as RtT RNA. The exact function of RtT is unknown although it is thought that it may be involved in changing the cellular response in relation to amino acid starvation. Lineage: Bacteria; Pseudomonadati; Pseudomonadota; Gammaproteobacteria; Chromatiales; Ectothiorhodospiraceae. The record is from RNAcentral.